This 452-nucleotide ribosomal RNA is filed under the name uncultured Streptococcus sp. RNAcentral describes it as "bacterial SSU rRNA". It matches the Rfam family "Bacterial small subunit ribosomal RNA", at positions 930 to 1374 of the family's 1533-position model. The record is from RNAcentral. Lineage: Bacteria; Bacillati; Bacillota; Bacilli; Lactobacillales; Streptococcaceae.
CGGUGGAGCAUGUGGUUUAAUCGAAGCAACGCGUAAGAACCUUUACCAGGUCUUGACAUCCCGAUGCUAUUUCUAGAGAUAGAAAGUUACUUCGGUACAUCGGUGACAGGUGGUGCAUGGUUGUCGUCAGCUCGUGUCGUGAGAUGUUGGGUUAAGUCCCGCAACGAGCGCAACCCCUAUUGUUAGUUGCCAUCAUUCAGUUGGGCACUCUAGCGAGACUGCCGGUAAUAAACCGGAGGAAGGUGGGGAUGACGUCAAAUCAUCAUGCCCCUUAUGACCUGGGCUACACACGUGCUACAAUGGUUGGUACAACGAGUUGCGAGUCGGUGACGGCGAGCUAAUCUCUUAAAGCCAAUCUCAGUUCGGAUUGUAGGCUGCAACUCGCCUACAUGAAGUCGGAAUCGCUAGUAAUCGCGGAUCAGCACGCCCGCGGUCGAAUACGUUCCGGCCUU